CCUUCACUUUGUUUUCUUUUUUGGUGCAACACCUUCACUUUGCAUUCUUACAAAAGAAAACACCUUCACUUUGUUCCCAUGUUAAUAAAAAAAAUUAUAAAUUUUAAACUACCACUAACGUUAGAAUAGUAUUUGUAUACAGUGCCAAAAUAUUAAAACACUACGCGUGGGCCGAAAGCAACGGAGCCUGAUGUGUCUGUACACGCAGACGUCUAGAUUCCUUUUUCAGUAAAACACACAGAAAGUAUUGUUUCCAACUUCCCGUAUAUUAAUUCGUCUUACCUUACUUCAAAAUC
Molecule: long non-coding RNA, 296 nt
Filed under: Brassica napus (rape)
Lineage: Eukaryota; Viridiplantae; Streptophyta; Magnoliopsida; Brassicales; Brassicaceae
Description: long non-coding RNA (BNAP_LNC015183)
Source: RNAcentral